UACGGGGGGGGCAAGCGUUGUUCGGAAUUACUGGGCGUAAAGGGCUCGUAGGCGGCCAACUAAGUCAGACGUGAAAUCCCUCGGCUUAACCGGGGAACUGCAUCUGAUACUGGAUGGCUUGAGUUCGGGAGAGGGAUGCGGAAUUCCAGGUGUAGCGGUGAAAUGCGUAGAUAUCUGGAGGAACACCGGUGGCGAAGGCGGCAUCCUGGACUGACACUGACGCUGAGGAGCGAAAGCCAGGGGAGCAAACGGG
This 253-nucleotide ribosomal RNA is filed under the name uncultured bacterium. RNAcentral describes it as "partial 16S ribosomal RNA". It matches the Rfam family "Bacterial small subunit ribosomal RNA", at positions 524 to 776 of the family's 1533-position model. The record is from RNAcentral.